UGGCUGUCCUGGAACUCACUCUGUAGACCAGGCUGGCUUCGAACUGACAGAGAUCUGCCUGCCUCUGCCUCUCGAGUGCUGGGAUUAAAGGCAUGUGCUAGCACCGCCUGGCCAACAAUGAAAUUUCCCGCAGUGAAGAGAACCAGUAAGAACUGUGUGAUUCACACAGAAUAUCAAACUUUGCCUUCAUUCAUUCUACCAGGAAACGACUGAAGGAACAAAAAAUUCCUGCGACAAAAUCGACUGGAGGAAGCAGGGCGUGGCGGCGCACUGCCAGGUAGAGGCAGGCAGAUCUCUGUGAGCUCCACGAGGUCUACCAGAGCAAGUUCUCGGACUACGUAGAGAGACCAUGUGCCAAAAAUCAAACGAACAAAAAGGAGGAAAGAAGUUGUUUUCUUCUGGAAUGCCUCGUGCCUUGUUUUCUUAAACUGCUCGGUCAGCAAGGAGUCUUUAUCUGUUGGACGAAACUUCCCCAAAUCUGGCAAGUGUAUGUUCUCAUGAUUGGUGGAAGAGAGCCUGGUGCACCAGAAAGAGCACUUGGAAGCAGAAGAUCCGGGUUUGGGGUGGUAGCUGGUAGGCAACUGGCCGAAUGACCGAGGUUGCUGCUUACAGAUUUUUGAGUGUUCCGAGCACCGCAGCGAUGGUGACACUCUCUGCAGGUCCAGCAGAUGAGACGACAGCAUGCUGCCUUGACUUACCAUCUUGUCACAGAUCUGCAGGGCACCUGCCGCCAAACAAGCUGCCUGCCGAAUUGCUAUGAACUCAUCAGAGAAGCAGCUCAGGAAGCUUGGGAGAAGCUUGGCUGUCAUGAGCUUGAGCACACGGAUCAGGGAGAGGGCCUCAAUCCGUUCCUGGGAAUUUCCUUGACUCAGCUUAAUCCUGUAAGACACAAGUGACUUUUAUUUCCCUUAAACUUUUCUGUGCCUUGUUCCCUUCCACCAUGCCCUCAGGAUAGAAUCCUAGCCUGUGGGUCCAGUUUUGUAGACAUACCUUUAUAACCAUUUACAUUUGACUGGGUUCAGACCUCAGGUGCCUUAUUUUCCUGAACUCCUGUUACCUAGCAUAUGGUAGACAUUCAGGUGUCUUGAACAACCAAAUAAAGGAAAGUGUCAGCUUGUCCUCCUCUUACCAAUACAGUGCUCAUUUUGGCAGUUGUCUCCUAGCCUGGAAUGCCUGUAUCUCUGAGGAACUUGGCCUUACUACCCACACUGAGUAUCCCAUUUUUCUAUAGCAGCUAUGGUAUAUGCCAUUGUACUAGUUUAGCAUGGUUUGGUUUUUUAAAAUUAGGUAUUUUGUAUAUUUUGUAUAUUGUGUUUGUGUUCAUCAGAAUUGUGUCUUCCCUAAAAUAAAGGCGUGCACCACCACGGCCCAGCUGGGAUUGAACUUUUUGCAGUGGAUCUAGCACGAUGCUGAUCAUACAUGGAACUCAGCAGAUGCUGGCUGGCUGCAGGUCACCCAGGCACUCCUAAGAAAGGAAGAGCUUCUGAGCUCGCAGUGACUGAAUCUUACCUGAUCAUGUCAUGCACCUCUUUCCCAAGGUUCAUUUGCCCCAGUGCUUUGGCAGCCGCUUGCCUUACUUCCUUGUUCCAGUCGUUCCACAUCAGCUGGAUAAGCUUAUGUUUCAUAUCCUACCAAUAGGUAUGAUAAUUGGCUCAUUCAUUUUGUCCUUGACACCAAGUUUUUUUCUAUCCUUUAAUCUCUCAGUUUGGUUGGGCAGAUGAUAUUUCUAUGUACAGAUGACACAGUGGGGACUUUGAUUAACUUGCCCGAGGAUAAUCUGCUAAGUGCUUAUGCCUGGUCUUAGACCCCAGGUCUGUUUCCCAAAUUCAUCUCUUAAACUCCUGUGUUAUGUUGGUACCAACACGAAUGUAAGAGACUUGAAAUUUGAAAAUAUUGCAUAAUUGAGUAAUCCCUCAUUCCAGAUUGCCUGAGACUUCCAUGUCCUGUACAAAGCAGGACAGUUGGUCACUGCAUCAGGGUGUUCUCUCUUACUGGAAGGGAGAACAUUACUGCAGUUUGAAUGAUAAUACUAUAACUGUGUAAACUAGCUUCUGAGCCUGAAACAUUGAUCUUUACCUCCAUCUGGUACCAGGUAUUUUUCUAUUUAGAACUCAGCUCAAAAGACACCUCCCUAGUAAAGUCUCAUGUGCCUCCCGUAAGCAUAAGAAAUCCCUCUGUAUACUAUAGUGUCUUACAGCUCUCUUGUUAUAGCUAGUUAGCAUUACCAAGGUAAGAUACAGUUCUGCACCACUAAUGCCCUCAUAAUGCUUACCAAUGUAGAGGGGGUGUGGUCAGAAAUUGCUAGCUUAUUGAAUGACUAAAAGAACUCAGGCACAUUGCCCUUUUAAAUUCCUGCGUCUAUGAUGAAGUCCUCAUCAUCUGUAACUUGUGCACAGCUGUGUGUUUUAGCAGAGGAAACUACAGCAUAUGAGAAAGAAUCAACCUGUUUUCAAACCUCUUCAGGUUAUUGUGCAUUUUUUGGUAAGGGUUAAGAAUGGAGGGCACCGCUUUUAAGCAGCAAUAGCCGUGUCCGGGGCUGUACUGACAGUAUCCAGUGUGAGCAAGAGAUGGGGCCGCUCUAAGGAAGAAGGGACUGAUUCCACGUGGACAGCUAGUGAUUAGAAUGCAAUAGUAAAAAGAGGUUCAGGUUUCACUUGCUCAGAAUUUCUUCCUCAGUUGUAGCCAAGUUCCACACCUUCAAGUUGUUCAACCACCAACAUUCAGUAGUACACACCAGUCUCCUAAAAGUUUCAUGAGAGUUGUGGGAGCCUGUGUAAGAAAGCUGUGAACUGUGGAUGGGCCAGAGUGCAGAAUGUUCUUCCUACAAGGGGGCCUUCUAGAAAGAACUGCAUAAACUAUGAUAAGUCAGUGCACUUGAAAGCAAGGACAUGAAGGGAAUGCUCAUCUCUGCGGGAGAAGCAAAGGCCUGAGAAGACUAUUGGCUCUGCUCACAUGGCCAAAGAUGACAGGACAGCACCAGGUGCACUCCCUCAUUGUACUUGAAUGUGCUUAAGCUCACUGUAAAUGUUACCUUAUGUUUUGCUUGCUUUAAUAAUAAAAAUGAGAAGUGCUUUGUUGGUGUUAUUCAAGUUCAAAAGUGUAUAGUUCCCUGGUACUCCAUACAGGUCUUUGGCAUGUUCUUUGAUCCAGGGAGUCAAUCUCGCUGGCCACCAGAGAGGUCAACAUCAAUUCAUUUGUAUUGUUAGUUUUGUUGCUCCAGUUGUAAUGCCAUUGUUUUUGAAAGCAGGGUCCAUGUAUUUACAUGUAUGUGCUGAAUAUUCAGGGAACCAACACAGGCAUUUGUUUAGUUGGAUUGUUGGGUCCUUUCAGUCUGCUUCUCAAAUCAAGGACCAAUAUUCAGCAUAGGGUGAGGGAGGAAUGCAUACAUCACUGACUGAUACUUUUAUAAUGUCUACUGAUAUUGAAAUAGUGUCAGAUUAUUAUUAAGUUUAUAAGCUCCCUCUCUUGGUUUAUAUGCAUAUUUGAUAGUGGCUGUGUCACAGUUAGUGGAUUGCCAACCCUCUAAGAAACACUGGUUUAAAAUGAGAGAAGCACAUGAUACUUCAAGUUAUGAAUUAGAAGCAGCAAUGAGAUCCUAGACAGAAGAAAAAAGUCAGAAGACUCCAGGCCAACUUUGCCAGGCUCUCUGGGAGCAAAGACAGAAGACUUACUAUGCAGAUAUUUCCACUGAUCCGGGAGAAAGCGCGGCAGGCCAUGAUGCGGUCCUUCCAUUGCCUGCUGUUCAGCUCCACAGCGAGCAUUGUGUGGAUCAGGGUCUGAGGAAAAGGAUGACUUGCAUGGAUAGUCUCUCUUACUCUUAGAGAUUCUAGAAUCUUGAAGAAAUUAUAUCCUAACUAUGACAUCCAGCAUAGUAAAUGCCUCAAGGUCACGAAAUAUUUGUUCCUAUUAAGGGGCAGAGUGGGUUUAUAAGAGAUGGGGCACUCUUCUACCCAAGCAAUCUGGCUUGAGUUAUAAACCAUAAAGAAAAUACAGGUCUGAUAAUCUGAGCAGAAAAUGAGUGCCUUCCCUUCUGACUAUUUCCAGUCCCUGGGAUGAUGGUUUCUAUCUGCCUCAGUCUGCGUGGAGUCUCAUGUUUCUGCCCCAAAUAAACGGAGUUGUGGGGGUCUCAGUGAUAAGCCUCCAUGUUUGCAUGUCAUGAUUCAACCUUUAUGCAGCCAGAAACUUCUCAGCUAGCACCUCAUAUCCCCCUGUACACUUCUCCAUGUCCAGUUUUACGCAGACUUGGUGUACUUGGCCUAUGCUUAACAUCAUUCUCAGCCACCUGCAUUCUUGAUUCCUUGUGUGCACCAACUAUAGAUACUUAUUCCUCAAGACCUCAUUUUCUUCUCUCUCUGAAGUGCACACAUACCGUCUUUCCACUGAGAUGGCUCAGGAGAAUAUAGGACUGUUCCUCAGUAGCUUCAUUCUUCUUAUUAAAGAGUUGGUAGAGGAUCCUUUUAAUCACUGGGUACGUAGCAAUGCCUUCCAGAGCCAAGCACUGAGCUGCAGCCCAGCUGUCCACACUAUUACCUGACCGGUGGGUUGAAAAAAAAUUAGUUCAGAAUGUUUUCUCCUAAAGAGAACAUUUGAAUUGAUAGCUAUGACUGCUAACUACCUGAUAGGUGAGACACUUUCCAGUGUCCUACCAAGUCUAGAAAUCCACUCCCAUUUCAACCAUACGUUAACAUUUUAAAUAAAAACAAAACCUGCAAAACUUUUUUUUUUUAAAUUUUUGAAGACAGAAUUUCAUUUAGUUCAGGUUAGCCUGGCAGAGAUGACUUUGAGCUUUUUGGGCAACGGCAGUACUACGGAUAGAAUCCAGGGCUCAGUGCAUGUGGUAUAAAGCCCUGUGCUUCCAAGCUAUAGCUCCGAUCCUGACCUUGACUUCUGAUCCCCUUGCCUUUACCUUUCAAUUGCUAGAAUUAAAGGUGUGUGCCAUGAGGCUCGACUAAAACAUUAGAAGCUCCUCUUGGGUAACACUUCCGACAUAGCUAAGAAACGCAGCUGUUUCUGUGGAGAUGGGGAAGGCCCUUCCUAAAACAGAUGAAUUAAGCAGUGGAUUGUUCAUAUACAGAAGGCCAGACCAGCCAGUUUUCCCGUGCUAAGGCAAGGAACAGCUAGCUCAUCUCCAGACAGGUCAGUGGCCUCGCCUGACAGCCUUGUUAACUCCAAUAUGAUAAUGCCUAGGUGGUACUGUGCAGAAAUUGGAAGCAUGAUGUGUUCAGGAGGUGAUUUAAAAAAAAAAACUUUCAAAGUGUACUUAACUAUUGUUACGCUAUCUUUUCAAUAAUAAAAUGUUAUGUAUUGUUGUGUUUA
Molecule: non-coding RNA, 5316 nt
Organism: Myodes glareolus (Bank vole)
Lineage: Eukaryota; Metazoa; Chordata; Mammalia; Rodentia; Cricetidae
Source: RefSeq, a predicted model, not a curated record